CACGUAGGGCGCAAGCGUUGUCCGGAAUUAUUGGGCGUAAAGAGCUCGUAGGCGGCCUGUCACGUCUGCUGUGAAAAGCUGGGGCUUAACCCUGGCCUUGCAGUGGAUACGGGCAGACUAGAGGUAGGUAGGGGAGAAUGGAAUUCCCGGUGUAGCGGUGAAAUGCGCAGAUAUCGGGAAGAACACCGGUGGCGAAGGCGGUUCUCUGGGCCUUACCUGACGCUGAGGAGCGAAAGCGUGGGGAGCGAACAGG
This 253-nucleotide ribosomal RNA is filed under the name uncultured bacterium. RNAcentral describes it as "partial 16S ribosomal RNA". It matches the Rfam family "Bacterial small subunit ribosomal RNA", at positions 524 to 776 of the family's 1533-position model. The record is from RNAcentral.